ACGGGAGGCAGCAGUCGGGAAUAUUGCGCAAUGGAGGAAACUCUGACGCAGUGACGCCGCGUAUAGGAAGAAGGUUUUCGGAUUGUAAACUAUUGUCGUUAGGGAAGAGAAAGGACAGUACCUAAGGAGGAAGCUCCGGCUAACUACGUGCCAGCAGCCGCGGUAAUACGUAGGGAGCAAGCGUUAUCCGGAAUUAUUGGGUGUAAAGGGUGCGUAGACGGGAGUCUAAGUUAGUUGUGAAAUCCCUCGGCUUAACUGAGGAACUGCAACUAAAACUAGAUUUCUUGAGUGCAGGAGAGGUAAGUGGAAUUCCUAGUGUAGCGGUGAAAUGCGUAGAUAUUAGGAGGAACACCAGUGGCGAAGGCGACUUACUGGACUGUAACUGACGUUGAGGCACGAGAGUGUGGGGAGCAAACAGGAUUAGAUACCCUGGUA
This is a ribosomal RNA of 435 nucleotides. It matches the Rfam family "Bacterial small subunit ribosomal RNA", at positions 341 to 792 of the family's 1533-position model.